This 305-nucleotide ribosomal RNA is filed under the name uncultured bacterium. Its description in RNAcentral is "bacterial SSU rRNA". It matches the Rfam family "Bacterial small subunit ribosomal RNA", at positions 335 to 653 of the family's 1533-position model. The record is from RNAcentral.
UCUCCCUACGGGAGGCAGCAGUAGGGAAUUUUCGUCAAUGGGCGCAAGCCUGAACGAGCGAUGCCGCGUGAGUGAAGAAGGCUUUCGGGUUGUAAACUUCUUUUAUUCGGGACGAAGAAAGUGACGGUACCGAAUGAAUAAGCCACGGCUAACUACGUGCCAGCAGCCGCGGUAAUACGUAGGUGGCAAGCGUUAUCCGGAUUUAUUGGGUGUAAAGGGCGUGUAGGCGGGAAUGCAAGUCAGAUGUGAAAACUCAGGGCUCAACCCUGAGCCUGCAUUUGAAACUGUAUUUCUUGAGUGCUGGG